RNAcentral lists this long non-coding RNA (3368 nucleotides) under Marmota monax (woodchuck). Lineage: Eukaryota; Metazoa; Chordata; Mammalia; Rodentia; Sciuridae. The record is from RNAcentral.
UUUAAAUAAUACAAUUUUAUUAGCACUCUGUGUGGAUUUUUAUUUGUACAAUGAUAAAAAUGCAUUUAAAAAUUGCUGGUUUUAACAGAACACAGUUAAAUCUGUUUUCCUUAUUCAGAUUUACUCAAAAAUUCUGAAGAGAAUAAGAAGUAAAAAUAUGUAUUAUAUUUCUGAAAAACCUUACAGAAACCAAAAACCUUGUAUCAUAAUUUUAUAACAAAGGAGCCCAAAUGUAGUAGAAUAAGUGUGUCUGAGGCAUAGCUUGCUGGCCCAAGCCCACAGUGUGUGGCAAAUGGAGCAUCUUAAAGAAAGGGGCACAAAUACAGGUGUGAGCAAGACCUUUGUUUAUAACCAUGAAAUGUAAGUCCCUGAAAUUGUAAUCAGAAUUUUAUUGAACUUGGUUUGAUUUCUAAACAUGCAGAUAAGCAAUAUACACACAAACUGCAUUUUGUCAAUACAGCAAGGAGAGGUACAAGGACUGCCUUGGAGGUAAUGUGUUUGAUUGCCUGAAAGAAGUAACAGAUAAAAGAACUCACAAAACUCGCUCAUAAAUUUUUUUCCUUGGCAAUAAUACUAUCCCCUACCAAUAAAUCUUUUGGAAACACUGCUGGAAUAAUCAUAUUCAUGAAAUUUAAAAAUCACAUUGGGACUAACAUAAACUUGUUAUGCAUUAAAGAAACAAACCCAGACAGUUAAAUAGUAUAGAACAAUUACCAAAGAAGGCUUGGGGGUGUAGCUCACUGAUAGAGUACAUAUUUUUUUAAGACAGGGGUUAAUUUUAAUAAAUAAAUUCUCAUCCUUGAUUAAACACUAAAUAUAGUAAAUGGCUGACUUAGAUUCCAAUUUUGACAAUUCUCCUUUUUUUUAACACUAAGUUGCAUUUUUAUUAUUUCUUUUUUUUUUAAUUGGUUGCUCAAGCAAGGUCUUGGAUUAAACCCCAGCACAUCAAAAUGAAAGGAAAGAAACUACCAAGAAACAAUUUUAAAAUUGACCUGAAAUAUUUUAUUAUCAAAAUUUUUACAAAGAAAUUAGCAACAGGGGCUGAGAUUAUGGCUCAGUGGUAGAACACUUGUAUUGCAUGUAUGAAAUGGGUUUUAUUCUCAGCCUCUCAUUUAAAUUAAUGGAUAAAAUAAAGGUCUGUCAACAACUCAAAAAAAAAAAAAAAGACAGGAAAAAAAAGAAAUUAGUGACAAAAAUCACUUUCAUCAAGUGAAUGUCCAAACAACCCUCAAAAUUAUCUACAGAAUGGCAGAUAAUUGGUAUGAUGUGUCACCUUAUUAUAAUACAAUACAGUAAGGUGAAACAUCAUACAAUGUUUAAUGUACAAUUCACACUAAGAAAUGAACAAAGUGAAAGUUAGUAGUCCAUUUGAAAUUUUCAAAUUUUUCAGUAAAAAUUAUCAUGAUUGUGUGACUAAUUAUUAAUAUAUUCUGAAUGUUUUACUAUCAUCAAUUACUGUUUUAAACCUUCAAACAAUGAUGGGCACAGUGGCACACAGAUAAAAUCCCAUCUACUCAGGAGGCUAAAGCAGGAGGAUUACAAGUUCAAGGCAAAGAGCAGAGGAUCCAUAAUGUAGUGAGACAAAAUAAAAAGGUUUGGGGAUAUAGUUCAGUGAUAGUUCAAUAAUACCACUGGGGUGGAUGUGGGGCAUUUUGACUAUAUACAUUUUAGUAGUCAAAUUCUAAUUCUCUGUGAAUGUAAUCACUCUUAUUUCACUGAUGAUAAAACUGAAAUAAAAUCUUCUUAAGUAUUUUUCCAGUGCACAUAAUGUGUAAUUAGCAAAGGUAAGGUUACAAUCGUGUGUGUUUCUGAGACUCAUGUUUAAUUACUAAGUAUCAGUGCUUCACUAUUUUAAUAUAUAUGUGUAUGUAUAAAUAUGUGUGUAUUUUUAUGUGUACAUAUAUACAUGUAGGUCACAAAAGGCUUUUCAAAUGUAAAUUGUGUUUUCUUUGAUAACUAUCAAUAAGUAAUAUGAAAGAAAAGUUGUAAAAUAUGGUUCAAGGAAAUCUUUCUGAAACUAAAGAGAUUUUAUUACCAAGAGUGAAGAAACAAGACACCAUAUUGGGAAAGGAUAAAAGAAAAAUACAGAGUGCUUAGGGUAACGCAUAACCUACAAGAUUGAAUAGGCUUUAACUUGAUAAUUAUCAAUAAAGAAAUUCUAAAUACAAUUUUCACAAAAAGAAACCAUUGACACAUUAAAACAAUAAAAUUCAAUGACACAUAGUAUUUAUUCUAAAAAAGCAAAGAUCCCAAUAUGUUAAGCUAUUGAUCAGGCACUAUAGCUGUGUGUAAAGAAUUAAUAUAUCUAGGGGAGAUCCACAAUGGUGAAGUAGAGGGAGGCUGCAUUCCUUUUUAUUCUGGGACUCGGGCGGGAUUCAAGCAGAGGAAAUAUACUGUUUCUCUGCUAGACAGCCCUUGCUGCUCAUCAAUCCUCUGCUCUUUGCCCCCCACUUGUCUGCUCAAUUACCAGCCUUUUGCCAAUAUAUCGCCUUCCUUUCACAUACAGAUCUCCUGGUGACCUCUGCCAACCACCCACCAGUUGCCCAUUUGCCUGCCCCUUGCCCACAUUUAACCUCCCUGUUGCUGCCUGUAAGUUCAUUUUCAGGUACCUGCAGAUUUGGUCACAUACAGCUACCAUCAUUUUGGGACAUCAGCCAGGACCUGGGAGUACAAGGCCAAGAGGCCUGUCAGCUUGCUGCUGUCACCCCCACCAUCUUGGAGCAUGGCUGCUUCAGUCUGAGGACACUGGCCAAGGCCUGGGAAUAUAUUGUUCUGGUACUUGCAGGUCUGGUUGCACCAGAGGUCUUCUUGCUGGGUGUACUAGUGACCCUCAUAUGGCCGCCUCUUUGCAGGAUUGCUCCUUUGUGUGGGGGCAUCCUUGGUGGUCUCUCUGCAAGUUGGAAUGGCAAUGAGCUCCUGGGGCUUCUACAAGACAGAGCUUGGGAAAUCUGAAGCCCAGGUCCGUCAGAUUGCACCUGAGACUGUAGGAGCCAGUCUGGGCCUUGCAAGCCUGCAGAAAGCCAGAGACUAGGGACAGUUUCCCUGGAGGAACACAAGUUGGAGAAACUGGAGAAUACCUGGAUCUCCCCAGCUCAGUGAGUCCUGAAGUGGGCAGAAAUGGAAGGGGUCAGCUAUAAGGGGAGGUAAGGCUGGAAGAGGUCAUGAAGGCAUCUUUCAACUCACUUGCCUAGCCAACCAGUCUGGCACCCAAUAGAGUAGAACUACCAUUAAACUUCAGACACCCCCACCUAUCCAUGGAGAAGUGAAACUGAGAAAAAUUUUGAAAGACAACAGAAGCAAUUAGUCAAUUUUCCAGAGACUUUCCUCCCCAGUCCAUAUCUCUACCAUCUUUGAAUCCAAAUAAAUUU